RNAcentral lists this small RNA (80 nucleotides) under Euplotes harpa. RNAcentral's name for it is "partial transfer-messenger RNA". Lineage: Eukaryota; Ciliophora; Spirotrichea; Euplotida; Euplotidae. The record is from RNAcentral.
AGCAGAGAUCGGGUUCUUCACUAAAAAAUCAACAAAAUUUAAUUGCAAAUACUAACUUUAGUAUUGGUGAGAAAUCCAGA